This 254-nucleotide ribosomal RNA is filed under the name uncultured bacterium. RNAcentral's name for it is "partial 16S ribosomal RNA". It matches the Rfam family "Bacterial small subunit ribosomal RNA", at positions 524 to 776 of the family's 1533-position model. The record is from RNAcentral.
UACGUAGGGGGGCAAGCGUUGUCCGGAUUUAUUGGGCGUAAAGAGCGUGUAGGCGGCCAAGCAGGUCCGCUGUGAAAACUCGAGGCUCAACCUCGAGACGUCGGUGGAAACCGUUUGGCUAGAGUCCGGAAGAGGAGAGUGGAAUUCCCGGUGUAGCGGUGAAAUGCGCAGAUAUCGGGAAGAACACCCGUGGCGAAGGCGGCUCUCUGGGACGGUACUGACGCUGAGACGCGAAAGCGUGGGGAGCGAACAGG